UAGGGAAUCUUCCGCAAUGGGCGAAAGCCUGACGGAGCAACGCCGCGUGAGUGAUGAAGGUCUUCGGAUCGUAAAACUCUGUUAUUAGGGAAGAACAAAUGUGUAAGUAACUAUGCACGUCUUGACUGUACCUAAUCAGAAAGCCACGGCUAACUACGUGCCAGCAGCCGCGGUAAUACGUAGGUGGCAAGCGUUAUCCGGAAUUAUUGGGCGUAAAGCGCGCGUAGGCGGUUUUUUAAGUCUGAUGUGAAAGCCCACGGCUCAACCGUGGAGGGUCAUUGGAAACUGGAAAACUUGAGUGCAGAAGAGGAAAGUGGAAUUCCAUGUGUAGCGGUGAAAUGCGCAGAGAUAUGGAGGAACACCAGUGGCGAAGGCGACUUUCUGGUCUGUAACUGACGCUGAUGUGCGAAAGCGUGGGGAUCAAACAGG
Molecule: ribosomal RNA, 429 nt
Filed under: Actinomycetes bacterium
Lineage: Bacteria; Bacillati; Actinomycetota; Actinomycetes
Also listed under: 1 other name
Description: Actinobacteria bacterium partial 16S ribosomal RNA
Rfam family: Bacterial small subunit ribosomal RNA
Source: RNAcentral